Molecule: ribosomal RNA, 253 nt
Filed under: uncultured bacterium
Lineage: Bacteria
Description: partial 16S ribosomal RNA
Rfam family: Bacterial small subunit ribosomal RNA
Source: RNAcentral
UACAGAGGUCUCAAGCGUUGUUCGGAAUCACUGGGCGUAAAGGGUGCGUAGGCGGCCUGGUAAGCGUGCGGUGAAAGCCCGGGGCUCAACCCCGGGUCGGCCGUGCGAACUGCGAGGCUGGAGCACUGUAGAGGCAGGUGGAAUUCCGGGUGUAGCGAUGGAAUGCGUAGAGAUCCGGAAGAACACCGGUGGCGAAGGCGGCCUGCUGGGCAGUGGCUGACGCUGAGGCGCGACAGCGUGGGGAGCAAACAGG